Molecule: long non-coding RNA, 700 nt
Filed under: Salmo salar (Atlantic salmon)
Lineage: Eukaryota; Metazoa; Chordata; Actinopteri; Salmoniformes; Salmonidae
Description: lncRNA (ENSSSAG00000086714.1)
Source: RNAcentral
CAUCAAUAUAUCUGGUCACUGAAGGUGCAGGGAGUCAACAUCAAUAUAUCUGGUCACUGAAGGUGCAGGGAGUCAACAUCAAUAUAUCUGGUCACUGAAGAUACAGGGAGUCAACAUCAAUAUAUCUGGUCACUGAAGGUACAGGGAGUCAACAUCAAUAUAUCUGGUCACUGAAGGUACAGGGAGUCAACAUCAAUAUAUCUGGUCACUGAAGGUGCAGGGAGUCAACAUCAAUAUAUCUGGUCAGAUGUUGCUUAACAGAUAUUUAUACUGAUGUUUUUUCCUGUGUGUGUUGUAACAGACCUCCUUCCCGUGCUAAAGAAGCGUGUGUGUGUGUGUGUGUGUGUGUUGUAACAGACCUCCUUCCCGUGCUAAAGAAGUGUGUGUGUGUGUGUGUGUGUGUGUUGUAACAGACCUCCUUCCCGUGCUAAAGAAGCGUGUGUGUGUGUGUUGUAACAGACCUCUUUCCUGUGCUAAAGAAGCGUGUGUGUGUGUGUGUUGUAACAGACCUCCUUCCUGUGCUAAAGAAGUAAGCGUGUGUGUGUUGUAACAGACCUCCUUCCCGUGCUAAAGAAGCGUGUGUGUGUGUGUGUGUGUGUUGUAACAGACCUCCUUCCCGUGCUAAAGAAGCGUGUGUGUGUGUGUUGUAACAGACCUCCUUCCCGUGCUAAAGAAGCGUGUGUGUGAUGUGCGUUGGGAG